Molecule: ribosomal RNA, 1512 nt
Filed under: Triticum aestivum (bread wheat)
Lineage: Eukaryota; Viridiplantae; Streptophyta; Magnoliopsida; Poales; Poaceae
Description: partial small subunit ribosomal RNA
Source: RNAcentral
AUGGAGAUCUCCCUGGACGCCGCGCUGCUGGGCGUGCAGCGGCACGGGCAGGACCUGGCCUACCGCCUCGCGCAGGGCGUCUCGGGCCUCCUCCUCCACCUCCACGUGCAGCCGCCGCAGCUCCCCUGGCCCGCCCCGCCGCUGUCGCUCAAGCUCAUCCCCUUCGACAUCGAGCUCCCCGCCGCCCCCUUCGCGGUGGGCGGGGGCGUCGACCUCCCGGCCGUGGCCGUCGCGUCGUUCGUCGAGAUCGGCGGCCGGCUCGGGCAGGCCGGGUCCGACCUCGGCGCCUCCGUCGGCGGCGCCGUGCAGCAGCUGUCGCGGCAGAUCCCCGUGCCGUUCCGCGCAGAGCGCGCGCGGCGCCGGAAGUGGGAGGGGGCCGCUGCGCCACCGACGACCGCGGCGGUGGACGAGGGGGAGGCGGGGCUCGCUGCGGAGAGGGCUGCCGAGGGCGGGGUGGCCUUGGAGGGUGUCGGGGAAGGAGGCUCUCUCGAGGAGGUGGCUGCGGCUGUGGCGGCGGCCACUGGGAGUGCCGCUGCCGCCAGUGCGGUCGGGGCCGGGGCUGAGGGUGCGGAUGGGUCGGAUGAAGAGGAAGACGGGUUCGGGUUCGAGUUCGAGAUCGGCACUCUGGGGAAAUUUAUGAAGCCUCAGGGGACUGUAAAUGUCUCAGCAAUGUACAAUACAAGGCACCAUACUGUUGAUAGUUCAGUUGUUGCACGUGGAGACUUUUGGAGGUUAGAAUCAUCACGAGGUGGUUCAAAUAAUGGAAAUGACAAUGCACCUGGUUUCCUUAUUCAGUUGGGUCCCUUACUUUUUGUGCGAGACUCUACAACACUUCUUUUGCCUAUUAAUCUGUCAAAGCAACACCUCAUUUGGUAUGCUUAUGAUCACAAGAAUGGAGUGCAUUCCUUAUGUCCAGUUAUCUGGUCAAAACAGAAAAAAUGGUUGUUGAUGUCCAUGAUGUGCCUCAACCCGGUAGCUUGUGCCUUCAUGGAUGUGGAAUUCUCAAAUGGGCAAUUUAGAUAUGUUGCUGGUGAGGGGAUAACAGCAAGUGGUUUUCUCCCAUUAUUUGGUGGAUUGCUUCAAGCCCAUGGAAAAAUUCCUGGAGAAACCAAACUGAGCUUCUCCUUCAAGAGCUCGCAAGGUACAUGGUUUACCCCUACAUAUCAAUGGCCUGACAAUUCUCUGUCAUUUGGAGUCGCCCACGCGGUAGCAUGGAAAAAGUCUGGCCUUAUGAUGAGACCGAGCACCCAAGUCAGUGUUUGCCCCACUCUUGGAGGAAGUGAUCCGGGCAUACGGGCGGAGAUUGUCCAUUCAUUGAAGGAAGAGAUCGGUGUGUCGUGCGGCUUCUCAUGCUCGAGACAUCCUUCGGCUUUCACAUCUCUUUCUAUUGGGCGGUCCAAGUUGAACGGUGAAGUUGGCAGUUCUGGGGUAGUAGUCACCAUGGAGAAACCCCUCGACAACAUGGGACCUCCAUCUUUAUCUGUUCAACUCAACGGAGGUCUCGAGUUCUGA